GCAUAUCAAUAAGCGGAGGAAAAGAAACUAACAAGGAUUCCCCUAGUAACGGCGAAGUGAAGAGGGAAGAAGCCCAAGAUUGAAAGCUGGCGUCUUUGGCGUCUGCAUUGUAAUCUCAAGAAGUGUUUUCCGCUUUGGACCAUGCCUAAGUCCCUUGGAAAAGGGCAUCAUAGAGGGUGAUAAUCCCGUACAUGGCAUGGAGCGCCCGAAGCUUUGUGAUACACUUUCUAAGAGUCGAGUUGUUUGGGAAUGCAGCUCAAAAUGGGUGGUAAAUGCCAUCUAAGGCUAAAUAUUGGGGAGAGACCGAUAGCGAACAAGUACAGUGAUGGAAAGAUGAAAAGAACUUUGAAAAGAGAGUUAAACAGUACGUGAAAUUGCCAAAAGGGAAGGGUAGGAGGUCAGAGAUGCGGUCUGGGAUUCAGCCUUGCUUUUGCUGGGUGUUUUUCUCAGAUUGCAGGCCAACGUCGGUUUUGGGCGCUGGAGAAGGGUGGAAGGAAUGUGGCACCUCUCGGGGUGUGUUAUAGCCUUCUACUGGAUACAGUGACCGAGACCGAGGACAGCAGCGUACUCGCAAGAGCGGGCCUUCGGGCACCUUUACGCUUAGGGCGUUGGCAUAAUGGCCCUCUACCACCCGUCUUGAAACACGGACCAAGGAGUCUAACAUGUAUGCGAGUCUUUGGGUGGCAAACCCAUAGGCGCAAUGAAAGUGAAUUCAGGUGGGAUCCGCAAGGUGCACCAUCGACCGAUCCUCACGUCUUUUUAAGUCGUGGAUUUGAGUAAGAGCAUACCUGUUGGGACCCGAAAGAUGGUGAACUAUGCCUGAAUAGGGUGAAGCCAGAGGAAACUCUGGUGGAGGCUCGUAGCGGUUCUGACGUGCAAAUCGAUCGUCAAAUUUGGGUAUAGGGGCGAAAGACUAAUCGAACCAUCUAGUAGCUGGUCCUGCG
RNAcentral lists this ribosomal RNA (944 nucleotides) under Ustilago avenae. Its description in RNAcentral is "LSU rRNA". It matches the Rfam family "Eukaryotic large subunit ribosomal RNA", at positions 38 to 962 of the family's 3401-position model. The record is from RNAcentral. Lineage: Eukaryota; Fungi; Basidiomycota; Ustilaginomycetes; Ustilaginales; Ustilaginaceae.